Molecule: ribosomal RNA, 253 nt
Filed under: uncultured bacterium
Lineage: Bacteria
Description: partial 16S ribosomal RNA
Rfam family: Bacterial small subunit ribosomal RNA
Source: RNAcentral
UACGGGGGGAGCAAGCGUUGUUCGGAAUUACUGGGCGUAAAGGGCGUGUAGGCGGCCUUGUAAGUCGGGGGUGAAAUCCACUGGCUCAACCAGUGACGUGCCUUCGAAACUGCUUGGCUUGAGUAUGGCAGAGGAGAGCGGAAUUCCAGGUGUAGCGGUGAAAUGCGUAGAUAUCUGGAAGAACACCGGUGGCGUAGGCGGCUCGCUGGGCCAUUGCUGACGCUGAGGCGCGAAAGCGUGGGGAGCAAACAGG